RNAcentral lists this ribosomal RNA (484 nucleotides) under uncultured bacterium. Its description in RNAcentral is "partial 16S ribosomal RNA". It matches the Rfam family "Bacterial small subunit ribosomal RNA", at positions 30 to 507 of the family's 1533-position model. The record is from RNAcentral.
AUUGAACGCUGGCGGCAGGCCUAACACAUGCAAGUCGAGCGGAUGAAGGGAGCUUGCUCCUGGAUUCAGCGGCGGACGGGUGAGUAAUGCCUAGGAAUCUGCCUGGUAGUGGGGGAUAACGUACGGAAACGGGCGCUAAUACCGCAUACGUCCUGAGGGAGAAAGUGGGGGAUCUUCGGACCUCACGCUAUCAGAUGAGCCUAGGUCGGAUUAGCUAGUUGGCGGGGUAAAGGCCUACCAAGGCGACGAUCCGUAACUGGUCUGAGAGGAUGAUCAAUCACACUGGAACUGAGACACGGUCCAGACUCCUUAGGGAGGCAGCAGUGGGGAAUAUUGGACAAUGGGCGAAAGCCUGAUCCAGCCAAGCCGCGUGUGUGAAAAAGGUCUUCGGAUUGUAAAGCACUUUAAGUUGGGAGGAAGGGCAGUAAGUUAAUACCUUGCUGUUUUGACGUUACCAACAGAAUAAGCACCGGCUAACUUCGUG